AUGAAUGCAGCGGGAUCUAGUUCCAGUCCGGAUGGUCGCCGUUCUUGUUGGAACCUUAUUUGGUCUUGCGAUGUUCCUCCUACAGUUCGAAACUUUGCUUGGAAAGUCGCUACUAAUGCUUUGCCGACAUGGCAGAAGAAGCACAGUAGGAGUCUGGAGGUUAAUGACCUUUGUCCAAUUUGUGCUGUUGAGCCGGAAGAUAACUUCCAUCCCCUCUGUCGCUGCACUUUUGCUAGAGAAUUAUGGUCAACAAUGUCGGAGGUUUGGUCCUUACCUGACUUGGCUGCUAUUAGAAAUACAGGUAAGGAAUGGUUGCUUCAUGUCCUUGACCCAUUGCCAGAAAUCGAGAGGUGCAUGCUUCUUAUGACUUUGUGGAGGAUUUGGCACAUCCGUAACGAAGUGUUACACCAUAAACCUGCGCCCCCAAUGGAAGCGUCCAGGAGGUAUUUGGUGAGUUACCUUGAUUCCUUGGUUGGUCUUAAAAUUGAUCUAUCUUCUGAUCCGAGCAAAGGGAAGUCCUUAGUUACAUACGACAGGCCACUUAAAAAUCCACAUGUUCGAAUAGUUGAGAGCACUCCUGUCAAAUGGUGUCCCCCUAUGGCGGGUUGGGUGAAACUGAAUACUGAUGGGUCCUUUGCAGUAAAUGGUACGGCUGGUGCGGGGAUGGUGCUGCGAGAUGACAAAGGUAAUGUCAUCUACUCAGCUUGCAGGGAGCUUUUUUCAUGCCGAGAAAUUCUUGAAGCUGAGUUGUGUGCUUGCAUGGAAGGCCUGUCUUUUGCAAUUCAGAGAAGCGACUUGCCGAUCAUUAUUGAGAUGGACUCCAUUAUUGCAGUCAAGCUGAUUCAAGCGAUGGAUAUUGAUAGAUCGAUCUACUCUUCUUUAGUUAAAGAAAUUAGACACCUGAUGUCUCUUCGUGAUUCUUGUAUUACUCAUAUAAAUCGUACGCAAAAUAAGGUUAGCGAUAGCUUAGCAAAGUUUGCUAGACAAGAGGGCAGAACAAUGACCUGGGUUGGGUCAGGCCCAUCAGUUUCUUUGGAGCUAGCCGAGGCUGAUUGUAUGGACAUUGAGAUUUGA
This 1074-nucleotide ribosomal RNA is filed under the name Triticum aestivum (bread wheat). Its description in RNAcentral is "partial small subunit ribosomal RNA". The record is from RNAcentral. Lineage: Eukaryota; Viridiplantae; Streptophyta; Magnoliopsida; Poales; Poaceae.